Molecule: transfer RNA, 72 nt
Filed under: Thermoplasmata archaeon
Lineage: Archaea; Methanobacteriati; Thermoplasmatota; Thermoplasmata
Also listed under: 1 other name
Description: tRNA-Arg
Rfam family: tRNA
About the family: Transfer RNA (tRNA) molecules are approximately 80 nucleotides in length. Their secondary structure includes four short double-helical elements and three loops (D, anti-codon, and T loops). Further hydrogen bonds mediate the characteristic L-shaped molecular structure. tRNAs have two regions of fundamental functional importance: the anti-codon, which is responsible for specific mRNA codon recognition, and the 3' end, to which the tRNAs corresponding amino acid is attached (by aminoacyl-tRNA synthetases). tRNAs cope with the degeneracy of the genetic code in two manners: having more than one tRNA (with a specific anti-codon) for a particular amino acid; and 'wobble' base-pairing, i.e. permitting non-standard base-pairing at the 3rd anti-codon position.
Source: RNAcentral
GGCCCUGUGGUCUAGUGGAUGGGCGCCGGCCUCCUAAGCCGGUCUACGCAGGUUCGAUUCCUGCCAGGGUCA